GUAGGUGGCAAGCGUUGUCCGGAAUUAUUGGGCGUAAAGCGCGCGCAGGCGGUCCUUUAAGUCUGAUGUGAAGGCCCACGGCUCAACCGUGGAGGGUCAUUGGAAACUGGGGGACUUGAGUACAGAAGAGGAAAGCGGAAUUCCAAGUGUAGCGGUGAAAUGCGUAGAGAUUUGGAGGAACACCAGUGGCGAAGGCGGCUUUCUGGUCUGUAACUGACGCUGAGGCGCGAAAGCGUGGGGAGCAAACAGGGAUUAGAUACCCUGGUAGUCCACGCCGUAAACGAUGAGUGCUAAGUGUUAGGGGGCUUCCGCCCCCUUAGUGCUGCAGCUAACGCAUUAAGCACUCCGCCUGGGGAGUACGGCCGCAAGGCUG
Molecule: ribosomal RNA, 373 nt
Filed under: uncultured organism
Description: partial 16S ribosomal RNA
Rfam family: Bacterial small subunit ribosomal RNA
Source: RNAcentral